ACGGGUGAGUAAUGCCUAGGAAUCUGCCUGGUAGUGGGGGACAACGUUUCGAAAGGAACGCUAAUACCGCAUACGUCCUACGGGAGAAAGCAGGGACCUUCGGGCCUUGCGCUAUCAGAUGAGCCUAGGUCGGAUUAGCUAGUUGGUGAGGUAAUGGCUCACCAAGGCGACGAUCCGUAACUGGUCUGAGAGGAUGAUCAGUCACACUGGAACUGAGACACGGUCCAGACUCCUACGGGAGGCAGCAGCU
This 250-nucleotide ribosomal RNA is filed under the name uncultured Pseudomonas sp. Its description in RNAcentral is "partial 16S ribosomal RNA". It matches the Rfam family "Bacterial small subunit ribosomal RNA", at positions 102 to 355 of the family's 1533-position model. Lineage: Bacteria; Pseudomonadati; Pseudomonadota; Gammaproteobacteria; Pseudomonadales; Pseudomonadaceae. The record is from RNAcentral.